RNAcentral lists this long non-coding RNA (1487 nucleotides) under Homo sapiens (human). The record is from RNAcentral. Lineage: Eukaryota; Metazoa; Chordata; Mammalia; Primates; Hominidae.
GAACCCGCCCAGAGAGCGGUGCGUGGCGCUGGGUGCGAGCAGGGUCUAGCCACCCCCACCCUCACCCCACCCCACCCCACCCUGCUUUUUUCAGGUUCAUCAAGGUUUGCGCAGUGGAUCCGCGGUAAGUGCGUGUCCCCACGCCGCGGGAAACGUGGGGCUCCUGAGACUGCGGAAAGAAUUGGGAGAAGGGGAGGGCUCGAAGACCCGGGCGAGGGUUCCCGGUGCGGCCCAGGUCCUUUAGAGCCCCGGGUGGGCAUCCAGUACCGCCUGCUGCCGAGGGCCCUAGAGGGGUUGGGGGAGGGGGCUGGUGUGUCCCCCACCCCCAGAUGCGCCCCAGGAUGGCGCGACCUCGGCUCCCUGGUGGAAAGUAGGGGGAGUGCUGGCUUGGGGGUCGCUUCCCCUCCUGCUCUAGUUUCUGAGGAUGUGAUGACCCCAAAGGUCAUUGGCGCUCCCAGAAUGCUGACGUCAGCUCAGCCGCUCCGAGUAAUCAGUAAUGCAGGGAGGCCACCCGCAGAAAGAACGCGACAGGGGUCGCUUUGGGGACACCAUAGGGCCUUUACUCCUUUUGAGGUGCGUGCUUUCGCAGGACUCCCUCCCCAGAGGAGGAGGCAUGAUCAGCCCACCCAAAGGAUCAUCUCUUAGGAAGCAGGCGUGCGCCCACGCAGGGAGAAGCAUCCUUCCUUUCAGCUGCUUGCCGGGUGGCUUUUCCAACCCGAGUUCCAGCAGCUUGCACAAAAUCCUUACAGCUUGGGUGGUUCCCUGGCUCAUAGGGGUGGGUUUAUAUUCUUUCUCCUUCUCCUCUGCUCUCUGGUCCAGAAUGAAGCCAGCCUGGAAGAUCCCCAGUCUCGAGACAGAGCCUGACAGGGGCAGAUGCACUGGAAGGACCCUGUCUGGGUUUAGCAACCAAGCAGCCAUCCUGGCCCCACAGGUGUGGGACUUCUGGGUCUUCUCCUGGCUGGCUUCUUGCUAGAGGAUUUCAAGAGACCCAGCAAGACUGUAUUGUCCCACUGAAUGCUCAAGAUAUUGGUUAGAAGUAGAAAAGGGGAGGGGGUAGUAUUUAGCCUCUGUCCCCACUAAAAAUUAUUCCCAAUUGUCAUUUGUGUCAUCUGUUUAGCUUACAGUUUUAAUCCUUGUCAAAAUGAUCAUUUGCCAGGGUGCAUAAAACACCCUAUUUGAUGAGAACUGGUUUUAAAGGAAAAUGGGGCCAUCAGAAGGAAGCCGGUUGGUGUGAAGAGACGUCUGGGAAGAGCCCCUGGCGAGGGCCCUCAUUCCACUGGGUGACCCAGAAGGAGAAAACCGCGAUGGCGCUUCUCAUUUGAAAUGUUUUCUUUAUGGACAGUGUUUAGCAAUUGUUAUAAUGUGUACUUUUGUUGAUUGAUCUGUAUACAUAUGUAAAAUAAUUUGUUCUCUGAGUUAAUUUUGUUGGAACAAAGACUUUAGUGCUUCCUACAUUAAAACAUUUUACUGUAUUGCCUGCAUUUUAA